UUCAAAUUUUGUUUUUCCUUCGCUGGGGAAAAGAGCGCUUAAAUAAGUUAUCAACGUGGACCGACGGCCAUGUAAAUGGCAGCACGUAAAUGAAUGAAAUUAUUUUGCAACAAAUUAAGGCAAAUUUAUGCGUCAAGGCGACAGGACAGGGGAUUCGAGAUGGGCGAACAAACAAAAGCGAAAACGGAACAGCACGAGGCGAAACGAAACGAAACGAAACCAACAAACAAACAAACAAUGAAACGAAAAACGACAGCCUCGAAGAGUGAAAAGCGACGAGUUUUCCUUCACCGAAAUCUGAGCAAGGCUUUGUGCAACAAAGUGAAGAACCCGGCUGCCCCUUUUCCGCAUUUACAAAUCCCCCCACCCCUUUAACGGGUCUAACUGCGUCCGCUCUGCACUUGUACACAUCCUGACAUACACAUAUAUAUUUUUUAUUUCCCAGCCAAGUGAGGCUGGAAUCAAAUGUCAAUAGAGAGUACAUUUCAUUCGGUCGGGUGACUGGGUUUUUCUGCCCAGCGCCACCCACUUUUCAGUUCCCCGCAUUGUAGCUGUCACAGUGUUUGUUUGCGGAUUUGAAGCUUUUCCUCUUUGCAACGCGCUUUUUUGCCACGCCUGCCGUUGUCCUUUAUCGAAGGAGCGGCUUGAGUAUUACGAACUGAAUGCAACACCUCGAUAUUCUCGAUACCUUAUUUAAUCUCAUCGGCAUUAUCAAAAUG
Non-coding RNA from Drosophila melanogaster (fruit fly), 719 nucleotides. The record is from Ensembl. NCBI's taxonomy places the organism in Eukaryota, Metazoa, Arthropoda, Insecta, Diptera, Drosophilidae.